UGGUUCUCGCAUCGAUGAAGAACGCAGCGAAAUGCGAUAAGUAAUGUGAAUUGCAGAAUUCAGUGAAUCAUCGAAUCUUUGAACGCACCUUGCACCUUUUGGUAUUCCGAAAGGUACAUCUGUUUGAGUGUCAUGAAUCCCUCAACCCCGACACUUUCUUGUAGAGUGUCGGAGCGUUGGAUGCUGAGUGUUGCUGUGUCACCACAGCUCGCUUCAAAUGUAUAAGCAAUCUUGUCAUCAACUGGAUUGACUCGGCGUGAUAAGAUCUUCGUCGAGGAUGCUUCUAUAGCAGCCAGAUGGUGUAACAAGUCGCUCCCAAACCUGUAGCGGCCUCGGCUGCCUCAAUCUUACAUUUAGACCUCAAAUCAGAUGGGACUACCCGCUGA
This 386-nucleotide unclassified non-coding RNA is filed under the name uncultured fungus. Its description in RNAcentral is "partial contains 5.8S ribosomal RNA and internal transcribed spacer 2". The stretch from base 1 to 133 matches the Rfam family "5.8S ribosomal RNA", at positions 22 to 154 of the family's 154-position model. Lineage: Eukaryota; Fungi. The record is from RNAcentral.